AUGAGGAAGCGGGAGCGGGAGAACCCGUGCGGGAUCUGCGGGCACUACCACAAGUACGAGGAGGGGGAGCCGUGCGGGGUGUGCGGCCACCGCCCGCCGGCGCUGGGGGCCGCGGGGGCGGCGGCGGCGCCGCGGCAGGAGUCGGCCUUCCCCUCGGAGAUACUCAAGGACUUCCUCUUCCUCGGCAGCUACGACAACGCCUCCCGCUCCGAGCUCCUCAAGACCAUCGGCAUCUCCCACAUCCUCAACACUGUACCCUUAUGCCAAAACCUUUACCGGAACUCUUUCACUUAUCACUGCCUUCAAGACGACAAGACUUUGCAGUUUGAUGAUGCAAUCCAAUUCCUAGAACAGUGCGAGAGGGAUAAAGCACGAGUGCUAGUCCAUUGCAUGUCAGGGAAAAGUAGGUCAGCUGCAUUUGUAGUAGCCUUCUUGAUGAAGUCCAGAGGCUGGCGACUUGCACAAUGUUUUCAGUGGGUGAAAGAACGGAGGCCACAAGUGCAACUGGCUGAUGCGGCACAGCAGCAGUUGAUUGAGUAUGAGCAGAAGCUUUUCAGUUGCAAUGUUGCUCCAACGGAUUCAUUCCCUUCUCUUGGAUUCGGUUUUCCGAAGCCGUCUGAUGAUGUCCAGGUGCCUAUCUUUAAUCAGCAGGCUCCAGGGUCCAUCUUUGAGCGGGUCAGCCCGAAUAACAUCCCGAGUAAUUUCACAUUUGGGGCUACCGAAGCUAAGCUCCCGGAUGGCAGUAACUUCGGUGUGGUCAACUUGUCUGGGACUGAUAGCAUGAUGGACAGCUCCUAG
This 798-nucleotide ribosomal RNA is filed under the name Triticum aestivum (bread wheat). RNAcentral describes it as "partial small subunit ribosomal RNA". The record is from RNAcentral. Lineage: Eukaryota; Viridiplantae; Streptophyta; Magnoliopsida; Poales; Poaceae.